Molecule: transfer RNA, 73 nt
Filed under: Gemmatimonadaceae bacterium
Lineage: Bacteria; Pseudomonadati; Gemmatimonadota; Gemmatimonadia; Gemmatimonadales; Gemmatimonadaceae
Also listed under: 2 other names
Description: tRNA-Ala
Rfam family: tRNA
About the family: Transfer RNA (tRNA) molecules are approximately 80 nucleotides in length. Their secondary structure includes four short double-helical elements and three loops (D, anti-codon, and T loops). Further hydrogen bonds mediate the characteristic L-shaped molecular structure. tRNAs have two regions of fundamental functional importance: the anti-codon, which is responsible for specific mRNA codon recognition, and the 3' end, to which the tRNAs corresponding amino acid is attached (by aminoacyl-tRNA synthetases). tRNAs cope with the degeneracy of the genetic code in two manners: having more than one tRNA (with a specific anti-codon) for a particular amino acid; and 'wobble' base-pairing, i.e. permitting non-standard base-pairing at the 3rd anti-codon position.
Source: RNAcentral
GGGGCGUUAGCUCAGCUGGGAGAGCAUUCGGUUUGCAACCGAAAGGUCGCGAGUUCGAUCCUCGCACGCUCCA